Molecule: RNA transcript, 1852 nt
Organism: Chanos chanos (milkfish)
Lineage: Eukaryota; Metazoa; Chordata; Actinopteri; Gonorynchiformes; Chanidae
Gene: stx1a
Gene name: syntaxin 1A (brain)
Exons: 10
Source: RefSeq, a predicted model, not a curated record
GAAAGGGAAAUCACGUUCCUUGUAUCUUAGGGAUGCGCGCACGCGGCCUCUAUACGCCACCUUGCACGCUCCCGCUUGUUACUGCUCUUUGAACAGGAGAAAAAAAAUUGGUAAAAAAAAAAAAAACUGGCAUAAUAAGAGAUUGCAAUACAUUUAGGAAACUACUGGACAUAGUUUGUGGCAUCAUGAAGGACCGUACACACGAACUUAGACAGGGCAAGGAAUCUGAGGAGGAAGAUGUGACCAUAGAGAAAGGAUUCAUGGAUGAGUUCUUUGAGCAGGUGGAGGAAAUCCGCGGCUUCAUCGACUCCCUCGCUGAGAAGGUGGAGGAGGUAAAGAGGAAACACAGCGCUAUUCUUGCAGCACCAAACCCAGAUGAGAAAACAAAGGCGGAGCUGGAGGAGCUGAUGACGGACAUUAAGAAGUUGGCCAAUAAAGUGCGCUCCAAGUUAAAGAGUAUCCAACAGACCAUCGAGCAAGAGGAGGGCCUAAACCGCUCAUCCGCCGACCUGAGGAUACGGAAGACGCAGCACUCCACCCUGUCCCGUAAGUUCGUGGAGGUGAUGUCAGAGUACAACGCCACACAGUCAGACUACAGGGAGCGCUGCAAGGGUCGGAUCCAGAGACAGCUGGAGAUCACCGGGAGGAACACAACAAACGAGGAGCUGGAGAGCAUGUUGGAAAGUGACAACCCAGCCAUUUUCACUUCGGGGAUCAUAAUGGACUCCAACAUCACUCAGCAGGCCAUGAACGAGAUCGAGACCAGACACAACGAGAUUAUUAAAUUGGAGAACAGCAUCCGUGAGCUCCACGACAUGUUUAUGGAUAUGGCCAUGCUGGUGGAGAGCCAGCUACAGGGCUCUGUGCCCUAGCCACUCUUUCCACUAACAGAUGGGCUCACAGUAGGAGAGGGAUUUGUCACACAGCUACCUCAUCGCCAUGGCAGCGCACGUACACGUACACUCACAGACACACACACACACACAGACGCACACAUAGACACACGCGUGCGCGCGCACACAAACAGACACGCAUACACGCUAAGAGAUUGCACUUGCUAACUCAUGUCUGUACACACAUGCUGAAUCACUCAGGUAAACAUGACAGAGUGUCUGAAAGUUACUGAAAAAUAUUUUACCUUUCACAGAAUGCAUUUUCAGUGGUGAUAAACUAGUAAAUUACAAUCCUGAGCAUAGAUUAUAAUGCACGUAUACUUCAUUUUUUUUUAAUGUAAAUUUGUUUCUAUAUGUGUGUAUAUGAAUUGUAUAUAUAUUUAUAUAUAUGUGACAUAGUUUGCUUGCUUAUUUGUACAGAAAACUGCAAAACACAUUUGAAAUGCAUAUCUGAGUCAGUGAGACAAAUUGAAUGGAUUUUAUGUGUGAGUUGAGUCUGGACUGAUUUUGAAAGGGUUCUCUUGGGAGAUGAUCAUGAAUAAGGUGCAUGAAUUAUUCAGAGGAGUAAAUGUGAGAAAUCUUCUCAUAGAGUGAGAGUAUAUUAACACGAAUUCAUUUGAUUUAAUAAUUAAUCUGACUAACCCCACAUUCUUCAUUAAUGAAUCCUGAGCACUCCACAGUGUCCAUGUUUCGCUUGGCCUUUUUCUGCAUUCUCUCUGCCUCUCUCCUUUUUUGUCUAUCUCGCUCCUUUUCUUUUUCCUAUUUCUGUUUCUCCCCACUGCACUCUGCCUUUUCCUCCGUCCCUUCUACCUCUCUCUCUCUCUCUCUCUGUCUCUCUCUGUGCCUCUCUCGCUUUCUCUCUCACUAUAACAGGCUCUUUGCAGUUUGCAGUGAAUUUGAGGUCAGCACUAAUCUCCCAAGGGGGAGCUGGUGAACAACAUUGAGAAGAAUGUGCGCAG